Long non-coding RNA from Pseudophryne corroboree (corroboree frog), 215 nucleotides. RefSeq lists it as uncharacterized. The record is from RefSeq and is a predicted model, not a curated record. The transcript has 4 exons. NCBI's taxonomy places the organism in Eukaryota, Metazoa, Chordata, Amphibia, Anura, Myobatrachidae.
UUUGCAGGCCAGUCCUCAAAAUGAGAAAGCGGAAAAAAUGAAAUGUGUUGCUGACAUAUUGCUGCAAAUAGCGCAAAUGUUAGCCGUACACAUUAAUGUUUCAGUACCAGAUAUUUUAUUAUCUAUGAACAUUUCACCUGCAGCUGUUAAUGCAUAUAAGACUGGAGACAUCAACGCAUUUUAUGCAUCUAUAUCGACGGAUUUUUCAAUGGAGA